RNAcentral lists this ribosomal RNA (440 nucleotides) under uncultured bacterium. Its description in RNAcentral is "bacterial SSU rRNA". It matches the Rfam family "Bacterial small subunit ribosomal RNA", at positions 958 to 1401 of the family's 1533-position model. The record is from RNAcentral.
AACGCGAAGAACCUUACCCAGGCUUGAACAGCCAGUGACCACUCCUGAAAAGGAGCUUCCGCAAGGACACUGGUAGAGGUGCUGCAUGGCUGUCGUCAGCUCGUGUCGUGAGAUGUUGGGUUAAGUCCCGCAACGAGCGCAACCCUUGUCUGCUGUUGCCAUCACGUUAUGGUGGGCACUCUGCAGAGACUGCCGGUGAUAAACCGGAGGAAGGUGGGGAUGACGUCAAGUCAGCAUGGCCUUUAUGUCUGGGGCUACACACGUGCUACAAUGGCAGAUACAAACCGUCGCGAGACCGCAAGGUGGAGCUAAUCGGAGAAAGUCUGUCUCAGUUCGGAUUGUCGGCUGCAACUCGCCGGCAUGAAGUUGGAAUCGCUAGUAAUCGCGGAUCAGCACGCCGCGGUGAAUACGUUCCCGGGCCUUGUACACACCGCUACAGU